UACGGGGGCCCCUAGCGUUGUUCGGAAUCACUGGGCUUAAAGCGGGUGUAGGCGGAGCGGUAAGUACUUUGUGAAAUCCCCGGGCUCAACCCGGGAAUUGCUGGGUAUACUGUCGCUCUUGAGGCAGGGAGAGGUCACUGGAACCUUAGGUGGAGCGGUGAAAUGCGUAGAUAUCUAAGGGAACGCCUGUGGCGAAAGCGGGUGACUGGGCCUGUCCUGACGCUAAGACCCGAAAGCGUAGGGAGCAAACGGG
RNAcentral lists this unclassified non-coding RNA (253 nucleotides) under uncultured bacterium. RNAcentral's name for it is "partial 16S ribosomal RNA". It matches the Rfam family "Bacterial small subunit ribosomal RNA", at positions 524 to 776 of the family's 1533-position model. The record is from RNAcentral. RNAcentral also lists the same sequence under 1 other name.